AUCUUACGCCUGGCGGCAGGCCUAACACAUGCAAGUCGAGCGGUAACAGAAAGUAGCUUGCUACUUUGCUGACGAGCGGCGGACGGGUGAGUAAUGCUUGGGAACAUGCCUUGAGGUGGGGGACAACAGUUGGAAACGACUGCUAAUACCGCAUAAUGUCUACGGACCAAAGGGGGCUUCGGCUCUCGCCUUUAGAUUGGCCCAAGUGGGAUUAGCUAGUUGGUGAGGUAAUGGCUCACCAAGGCGACGAUCCCUAGCUGGUUUGAGAGGAUGAUCAGCCACACUGGGACUGAGACACGGCCCAGACUCCUACGGGAGGCAGCAGUGGGGAAUAUUGCACAAUGGGCGCAAGCCUGAUGCAGCCAUGCCGCGUGUGUGAAGAAGGCCUUCGGGUUGUAAAGCACUUUCAGUCAGGAGGAAAGGGUGGUGGUUAAUACCCAUUAUGUGUGACGUUACUGACAGAAGAAGCACCGGCUAACUCCGUGCCAGCAGCCGCGUNAUUUACG
Molecule: ribosomal RNA, 506 nt
Filed under: psychrophilic sea water bacterium L17
Lineage: Bacteria; Pseudomonadati; Pseudomonadota; Gammaproteobacteria
Description: bacterial SSU rRNA
Rfam family: Bacterial small subunit ribosomal RNA
Source: RNAcentral